CGUCUAUAUACGUAUAGCAUAUCAAUAAGCGGAGGAAAAGAAACUAACAAGGAUUCCCUAGUAACGGCGAGUGAAGCGGGAAGAGCUCAAAUUUGAAAUCUUAAAGGGUUUCCCUUGCACGAAUUGUAGUUUAUAGAAGUGUUUUCUGUUAGUGGAGUUCGGUAAAAGUUCUUUGGAAUAGGACAUCAUAGAGGGUGAGAAUCCCGUAUUUGGUACCGUUACUUCCCUAGCUGUGUGAUACACUUUCAAAGAGUCGGAUUGUUUGGGAAUGCAGUCCAAAGAUGGGUGGUAAAUUUCAUCUAAAGCUAAAUAUUGGCGAGAGACCGAUAGCGAACAAGUACCGUGAGGGAAAGAUGAAAAGAACUUUGAAAAGAGAGUUAAACAGUACGUGAAAUUGUCAAAAGGGAAGCGUUUGACACCAGUGUUGUUUAGUUCGAAAAUCAAUUACGAAUAGUUUUUGAUUUCUUAGGAGUAUUGACUUCAUCAGGCUUGCUGCUUUCUUCUCAUGAAACUUAUUGAAUGCACUUUUCAGGUUAACAAGUCAACAUCAAUUUCUUUUGUUGUAAAAGGGUAUGAGGAAGGUGGCUUUCUCUUCGGCGCAAGUGUUUAUAGCCUUGUAGCCUCUGCAAUCGGAGAGAUUGAGGUCUGCAGCGUAGAUCCUUCGGGGUUAGAUACAUUGGUGCUAAGCUAUAGCCUUGUAUAGACAACUUGUUGACUAUGCUCAGUCAUGUAGCUUACUCGCUGAUGCUAUUUUACCUACGCUUAGGAUGUUGACGAGACUGUCGAUCUC
This 790-nucleotide ribosomal RNA is filed under the name uncultured Neocallimastigales. Its description in RNAcentral is "partial large subunit ribosomal RNA". It matches the Rfam family "Eukaryotic large subunit ribosomal RNA", at positions 26 to 634 of the family's 3401-position model. Lineage: Eukaryota; Fungi; Neocallimastigomycota; Neocallimastigomycetes; Neocallimastigales. The record is from RNAcentral.